CAGUCGCCGCGGGAAUACGGAGGGUGCAAGCGUUAAUCGGAAUUACUGGGCGUAAAGCGCGCGUAGGUGGUUUGUUAAGUUGGAUGUGAAAUCCCCGGGCUCAACCUGGGAACUGCAUUCAAAACUGACUGACUAGAGUAUGGUAGAGGGUGGUGGAAUUUCCUGUGUAGCGGUGAAAUGCGUAGAUAUAGGAAGGAACACCAGUGGCGAAGGCGACCACCUGGACUAAUACUGACACUGAGGUGCGAAAGCGUGGGGAGCAAACAGGAUUAGAGACCCCUGUAGUCCCUGUCUCUUAUAC
RNAcentral lists this ribosomal RNA (301 nucleotides) under uncultured bacterium. RNAcentral's name for it is "partial 16S ribosomal RNA". It matches the Rfam family "Bacterial small subunit ribosomal RNA", at positions 509 to 807 of the family's 1533-position model. The record is from RNAcentral.